GAGUGAGCGUUGAACUCGUUCCGUGAGUAGCGGGACAGCAAGUUCGAUUUCCCAACUGCCGAGUCGCCGAUUAUGACGAUCUUGAACAGGUACUCCUCCUCCCCAGACCCCUCCUCGUCUGAAGACGACAUGUCGUUUGCUUUCUGGGUUUUUCUUGCUUCUUCUCCUCUGCUUUGUUUGCUUCCUGGGUUUCUUGGUUGAAGUUAAUUCAGCAGAGGAAUUUUAGCACGCAGUGAAGAAUGGAAAGAAUGGGAGGGAGGAAGCGAGUUUUGACAGAAAAUGGUAGACUGUCAAAUUUUGGAGGAGAGAGAAACUGAAAGAGAGAGAGGAAGGAUGGCGCAUGUGCGCUGCGCUGCCAGACGGACAUACCGCGC
Molecule: long non-coding RNA, 374 nt
Filed under: Malus domestica (apple)
Lineage: Eukaryota; Viridiplantae; Streptophyta; Magnoliopsida; Rosales; Rosaceae
Description: long non-coding RNA (MDOM_LNC013318)
Source: RNAcentral